This 1468-nucleotide ribosomal RNA is filed under the name human gut metagenome. RNAcentral describes it as "bacterial LSU rRNA". It matches the Rfam family "Bacterial large subunit ribosomal RNA", at positions 1100 to 2566 of the family's 2925-position model. The record is from RNAcentral.
GUUGGCUUAGAAGCAGCCAUCCUUUAAAGAGUGCGUAAUAGCUCACUAGUCGAGUAUCUCUGCGCCGAAAAUGUACCGGGGCUAAACAUAUUACCGAAGUUAUGGAUUUAUAAUUUAUUAUAAAUGGUAGGGGAGCGUUCUAAGGGCGCUGAAGGUAGAUCGUGAGGACUACUGGAGCGCUUAGAAGUGAGAAUGCCGGUGUGAGUAACGUAAGGUAGGUGAGAAUCCUACCCACUAUUUGACCAAGGUUUCCAGGGUCAAGUUCGUCUUCCCUGGGUUAGUCGGGACCUAAGGCGAGGCUGAAAAGCGUAGUCGAUGGACAACAGGUUUAUAUUCCUGUACUACUUAUAGGACUGAUGGAGUGACGGAGAAAGCUAGGAAGAGCCAGUUAUUGGAUUCUGGUCUAAGCGUUUAGGUUGAUGCACAGGAAAAUCCGUGAUAUCGAUAAGACUGAAGCGUGAUGGCGACGUGGUCUACGGACCGCUAAGUCUUUUGAAGCUAUGCUUCCAAGAAAAACUUCUAAAGAUAUGUUAUAAGUACCCGUACCUAGAACCGACACAGGUGGUCAAGGAGAGAAUCCUAAGGUGAGCGAGAGAACUAUGGUUAAGGAACUCGGCAAAAUUACCCCGUAACUUCGGAAUAAGGGGAGGUUUCUUCGGAAACCCGCAGUGAAUAGGUCCAGGCAACUGUUUACCAAAAACACAGGUCUCUGCUAAAGCGUAAGCUGAUGUAUAGGGGCUGACGCCUGCCCAGUGCUGGAAGGUUAAGAGGAGAUGUUAGUUGGACGCAAGUCGAUAACAACGAAGCUUCGAAUUGAAGCCCCAGUGAACGGCGGCCGUAACUAUAACGGUCCUAAGGUAGCGAAAUUCCUUGUCAGGUAAGUUCUGACCCGCACGAAAGGCGUAAUGAUCUGGACGCUGUCUCAACCAUAGACUCGGUGAAAUCUUAAUACCUGUGAAAAUGCAGGUUACCCGCGACAGGACGGAAAGACCCCAUGGAGCUUUACUGUAGCUUGAUAUUGAAGUUAGGUGAUUUAUGUAGAGGAUAGGUGGUAGACUGUGAUGUAUGGACGCCAGUUCAUACGGAGUCGCCCUUGGAAUACCACCCUUAAAUCAUUUGACCUCUAACUUACUCCCGUUAUCCGGGAGGAGGACAGUGUCUGGUGGGCAGUUUGACUGGGGCGGUCGCCUCCCAAAGAGUAACGGAGGCGCUCAAAGGUUCCCUCAGAUUGGUCGGAAAUCAAUCAAAGAGUGUAAUGGUAUAAGGGAGCUUGACUGCGAGACCUACAAGUCGAGCAGGUGCGAAAGCAGGACAUAGUGAUCUGGCGGUAGAAUAUGGAAUUGCCGUCGCUUAACGGAUAAAAGUUACCCUGGGGAUAACAGGCUGAUAGCGCCCAAUAGUUCACAUAGACGGCGCUGAUUGGCACCUCGAUGUCGGCUCGUCACAUCCUGGAGGUGGAUUCGCUUCC